GGCCCAGACUCCUACGGGAGGCAGCAGUAGGGAAUCUUCCGCAAUGGACGAAAGUCUGACGGAGCAACGCCGCGUGAGUGAUGAAGGUUUUCGGAUCGUAAAACUCUGUUGUCAGGGAAGAACAAGUGCCGUUCGAAUAGGGCGGCACCUUGACGGUACCUGACCAGAAAGCCCCGGCUAACUACGUGCCAGCAGCCGCGGUAAUACGUAGGGGGCAAGCGUUGUCCGGAAUUAUUGGGCGUAAAGCGCGCGCAGGCGGUCCUUUAAGUCUGAUGUGAAAGCCCACGGCUUAACCGUGGAGGGCCAUUGGAAACUGGAGGACUUGAGUACAGAAGAGGAGAGUGGAAUUCCACGUGUAGCGGUGAAAUGCGUAGAGAUGUGGAGGAACACCAGUGGCGAAGGCGACUCUCUGGUCUGUAACUGACGCUGAGGUGCGAAAGCGUGAG
This 446-nucleotide ribosomal RNA is filed under the name Virgibacillus salarius. Its description in RNAcentral is "bacterial SSU rRNA". It matches the Rfam family "Bacterial small subunit ribosomal RNA", at positions 328 to 765 of the family's 1533-position model. The record is from RNAcentral. Lineage: Bacteria; Bacillati; Bacillota; Bacilli; Caryophanales; Bacillaceae.